CUUGGUCAUUUAGAGGAAGUAAAAGUCGUAAUCAGGUCUCCGUAGGUGAACCUGCGGAGGGAUCAUUACAGAGACUCUGCCCUUUGGGUAGACCUCCCACCCUGUGUCGUUAUACCUUCGUUGCUUUGGCGGGCCGCGGGGCCCCGGCCCCGCCCCUGGCUCCGGCUAGGGCGCGCCCGCCAGAGGACCUCAAAACCUGAAUGUUAGUGUCGUCUGAGUACUAUAUAAUAGUUAAAACUUUCAACAACGGAUCUCUUGGUUCUGGCAUCGAUGAAGAACGCAGCGAAAUGCGAUAAGUAAUGUGAAUUGCAGAAUUCAGUGAAUCAUCGAAUCUUUGAACGCACAUUGCGCCCCUUGGUAUUCCGGGGGGCAUGCCUGUUCGAGCGUCAUUACAACCCUCAAGCUCUGCUUGGUCUUGGGCGUCACCGGUCCCGGUGUGCCUUAAAAUCAGUGGCGGCGCCAUCUGGCUCUAAGCGUAGUACAUACUCUCGCUACAGACGUCCGGUGGAUGCUGGCCAGCAACCCCCAACUUAUCAAGGUUGACCUCGGAUCAGGUAGGGAUACCCGCUGAACUUAAGCAUAUCAAUAAGCGGAGGA
This 597-nucleotide ribosomal RNA is filed under the name Pezicula ericae. Its description in RNAcentral is "eukaryotic LSU rRNA". The stretch from base 236 to 389 matches the Rfam family "5.8S ribosomal RNA". The record is from RNAcentral. Lineage: Eukaryota; Fungi; Ascomycota; Leotiomycetes; Helotiales; Dermateaceae.